GCUGGGCAUGGUGGUGCAUGCCUGUGAUCCCAGCUACUCGGGAGGCUGAGGCAGGAGAGUCACUUGAACCCAGGAGGCAGAAGUUGCAGUGAGCCGAGAUAGCGCCACUGCACUCUAGCCUGGGUGACAGAGUGAGACUCUGUCUCAA
Unclassified non-coding RNA from Pongo abelii (Sumatran orangutan), 148 nucleotides. It matches the Rfam family "Metazoan signal recognition particle RNA". Rfam says of the family: The signal recognition particle (SRP) is a universally conserved ribonucleoprotein. It is involved in the co-translational targeting of proteins to membranes. The record is from Ensembl. NCBI's taxonomy places the organism in Eukaryota, Metazoa, Chordata, Mammalia, Primates, Hominidae.